UUGCAAUAGAAAUGAAGGCUCUCGUGGUCAUGCUUUUGGCGACCGGCUUGCUUUUGACAGCUGACGCUGUCAAGAAGCACCGACGCGUUCAAGGAGGUGGGUUCUCUUGGGACCAUCGCCGAAGUGCUGGAAUGUGGAAUGACAGCCCCAGAUGGCCAGGAUGAGAUCCCAGAUGUCAUCCAGGCCAAAUGACGUUGAUGCCCUUGAGGACGGGGACGAUAACACUGACGAGAUGCCUGGUGUUUAUAGGAUUGAAGAACCUUGCCGAGAGAUGGAAUGUGGGGCUGGCCGUGAAUGCUGGUUCAAUGAGGAGUCCGAAGAGGGUGGAAUGUCGGUGUAUUGUGGAAUGUGGCCGUGAGAAUGAUCCUCGUCGACAAGUGAGUUC
Tigriopus californicus is the source of this 385-nucleotide long non-coding RNA. RefSeq lists it as uncharacterized. The transcript is spliced from 3 exons. Lineage: Eukaryota; Metazoa; Arthropoda; Copepoda; Harpacticoida; Harpacticidae. The record is from RefSeq and is a predicted model, not a curated record.